AGCUCAGUGGUCUAGUGGUCUAACAUCGCGGUGCCUCGGCCAGGCCCGAGACGCGGGUUCGAACCCCGCCUGAGCCG
This 77-nucleotide transfer RNA is filed under the name Nippostrongylus brasiliensis. It matches the Rfam family "tRNA". Rfam says of the family: Transfer RNA (tRNA) molecules are approximately 80 nucleotides in length. Their secondary structure includes four short double-helical elements and three loops (D, anti-codon, and T loops). Lineage: Eukaryota; Metazoa; Nematoda; Chromadorea; Rhabditida; Heligmosomidae. The record is from Rfam by way of RNAcentral.